This 558-nucleotide long non-coding RNA is filed under the name Oryctolagus cuniculus (rabbit). RNAcentral describes it as "lncRNA (ENSOCUG00000038897.1)". Lineage: Eukaryota; Metazoa; Chordata; Mammalia; Lagomorpha; Leporidae. The record is from RNAcentral.
GGGGAGCAAGUGCACAGUGACUCCUGUUGUUGAUUUAACAAUUGACACUCUUAUUUAUGACAUCAUUCUAAGGAAGGAGCCACUUCUGAGUUUACUAGUGUGGUGUCUGGCCAGCCUCAGAUCCUCAUGGGUGACCGUGAGACAUCACCACCUGGAGACAGGUGAUGCUCCAGGUCAUCCCGGCACCUUCCCAGCUACUGUCAUCACUUGGCCAUCCACGGGGAUCUGCCUGGCCUGGGGCUGCGAAUCUCCAGAAUUAGAACAAGGCAUUUGGACAGCGUGGAAAGGUCCCUGGGAGAGCCAAUCAGAAUUUACAGGGGCCAAUUCAAAUGGAAAAGACAUGGCCAAGUCAGGAAUUAUUGCGCUAAGAGGUUUACUGCAGUGUAGAGGAGGUGAAAAUGGUACCUGCAACAUUUCACUCCAUGAAAACACCACAACCACCAUCGAAGGAAGAGUAAAGUGAACCAAGAGAGAAUGGAUUCCUUAAGAUGUUCCAAGUGCAGCAGCACUUCAGCUACCAGACAAUAAUAAAUCGGGAAUGACAGAGAAUGCUGACCA